RNAcentral lists this ribosomal RNA (496 nucleotides) under uncultured bacterium. Its description in RNAcentral is "partial 16S ribosomal RNA". It matches the Rfam family "Bacterial small subunit ribosomal RNA", at positions 29 to 507 of the family's 1533-position model. The record is from RNAcentral.
AUGAACGCUGGCGGCGUGCCUAAUACAUGCCGGUCGAGCGAACGGACGAGAAGCUUGCUUCUCUGAUGUUAGCGGCGGACGGGUGAGUAACACGUGGAUAACCUACCUAUAAGACUGGGAUAACUUCGGGAAACCGGAGCUAAUACCGGAUAAUAUUUUGAACCGCAUGGUUCAAAAGUGAAAGACGGUCUUGCUGUCACUUAUAGAUGGAUCCGCGCUGCAUUAGCUAGUUGGUAAGGUAACGGCUUACCAAGGCAACGAUGCAUAGCCGACCUGAGAGGGUGAUCGGCAACACUGAAACUGAGACACGGUCCAGACUCCUACGGGAGGCAGCAGUAGGGAAUCUUCAGCAAUGGGCGAAAGACUGACGGAGCAAAGCCGCGUGAGUGAUGAAGGUAUUCGGAUCGUAAAACUCUGUUAUUAGGGAAGAACAUAUGUGUAAGUAACUGUGCACAUCUUGACGGUACCGAAUCAGAAAGACACGGCUAACUACGUG